Molecule: ribosomal RNA, 2192 nt
Filed under: Triticum aestivum (bread wheat)
Lineage: Eukaryota; Viridiplantae; Streptophyta; Magnoliopsida; Poales; Poaceae
Description: partial small subunit ribosomal RNA
Source: RNAcentral
UGUUGAGGGAAGACAGCGGGAGAAGAAGGGAAGAGGGCGAGAAAAGCCGAAAAAUAAAACCUCCCCUCCCCUCCCCCUGUUCGUCGUUCUUCUCGGUUCGAUCCACUCCAGCAGCCCCAAAUCCCGGCCCGAUUCCUCCCCAAAUCCAAUCGACUCCCUGCCGAAAUCCACCCUCCCACUGAUCGCCGCAAGCUCCCGGACACGGAGCAAGCAAUUUCGCGCCGCAAGAACUGCUCGCCGUCCGUGGACAAAAGCCCUCGCCCGACUCUCCCAACCUCUUUUCUGUUCGUCCUGACCAUCGUCUUACGCGCCUCGCCGCCAUCGCCGUCGCAGUUCUUCCUCGUCUCGUCUCGACAUCCGCGUUCCUGCUAUCUGCACCCCGUCCGCAGCCUUUGGGUUUCGAGAUCCGCCCUUGAUGGCGGGGGAGGAGGCCGCGGAGGGAAGCGGGAACAGGAGGCGGAUGGAUCUAAACCUGUACCUGGGCCUCCCUCCAUUGCCGCGGCCUCCAGGUCGGCUGGGCGUAGCUAUGGAUCGCCCGCCGCCGCCCAACUCGGCCAUUCCGGUUCCGGAAUCUCCAAGAACAGAUGAGCCUGCAGUAUUACCGGCACCAGAGGAGAUGCCGCCACUGCCCGUUGUAUACUCGCCGUCCAAUGCGCUCUCCACGCCGGAGCUAUCGCUGAUAGAUCCGAUGCUCUUUGAUUGGCUUGAUGGCCUCAGUACGGACAGUGAAGAGGCUCUUGAUGCUGGUGAACCGGCUGUGGUGCGCGACACGCCCUCACAUGAUGCCAAUGUAUCACCACCGCCGCCAGCGCCAUUGUCUCUUCCUGGGCUGGAAGGGGUUCGCCUUGAGUGGGUGGAAAGGCUUUCUCACCCUAUUCUGGUGGCUCCUGCAGCCGGAGCAGAGAUGGUGAGCACGAGGGUGAUGAGUCAAUCUAUGGGGGCUGCGAAUGCAAUUGAAGACAUGACGCCUGAGCUCCGCCUGCAGAGGUUGAUCCAGGUGAGUGAACAACACCGCAUUGUGCGGCCAGGGUCAGUGAACCGCAACCAGCGGGCGACCAGCCCAGAAGCAGAAAGACUGGCGCAAGCCAUCCAGCGGUCUCACAGCUCUCUAGACGCAUCAAGGCGGCAGAAGCUCGAUGGUGAUGGCAAGAUGACAGGAACAGGUGCCGUCAAGAAGGACGGGAACUGUGGGUGCAACUCCAGUUUCGAGUGCAAUAUCUGCCUUGAAGCGGCUAAAGAGCCCGUGGUUACACCGUGCGGCCACCUCUUCUGCUGGCCAUGCUUGUACCAGUGGCUCCAUGGACAUUCAGCCCACUCUGAGUGCCCUGUCUGCAAGGGAGAGGUGCUCGAAGUAAAUGUCACACCAAUAUAUGGAAGAGGAGGCGGUGAAUGGGACGCCUCCAGCAAUGAUGUUCCUCCCAGACCACGCGCAAACAGGAGUGAGAGCUUGAGGCAGCAACUGCAAAUGCCAGACCCAAGAGGCAUUGCAAGCAUGGUGAGACGGUUGAUAGAAAACCAGGAUAUAGUGAGAGGCCAGGCAGCUCCACCUGCAGGCGGGGUUGAGGUGACUGUACUUCCCGCAGCCCGGUCAAGGGCUAGGGUACGGAGACAGCAAAGACACAGUCUUGUUUCACCCUCCCCAAUAAUGCUGCGUGCAAGCAACGCGGCCCCUGAGAGUGGCAAUCAGGUCCGAUUGCCGUCUUCUAAUUCUGUUAAUGCUGCACCCGCAGUUACUCAGCAGUCGUCAUCCAUGGAGCAGGCAUCGACUUCUAGCACCCUGGCUGUUAUAGUGGGACAGGCAGCCCAAAGUAGGAGAUCCAGACCUUCGGAGUCCACAACCACAAGAAGAACAAGGAGGAGGCAGCAGCAGUAGGUAAAAGUGGUGCUGCCAUUUUCUCCAAUAAAACAUAUAUAGAUCAUACUUUGUCUGUACCAUGUCAUGAUGUCAAGCUCCAAAAACAUAGUCAAGAUUAUAAGGUAGGAAUGUAUAUGCUAUUGCUUUGCUCAUGUAUACCUUUUUCAUGGAAAAGGAAUUAUUAGCAUGUAUGUGGGGAUAAAUUUCCCUGAUAUUGCAUCUGUUUGUUUUUCAGUGAAUUGUUAAUUGUUAUCUCUGUACUGUGUAUGCCUAAAUUUGAAGAUAGUUAAUUUCCUCAGCUAAUAGUUUUUGUACCGUCAAGACUGAUGAAUGUAGC